UGGCGGCAUGCCUUACACAUGCAAGUCGAACGGCAGCACGGGUGCUUGCACCUGGUGGCGAGUGGCGAACGGGGUGAGUAAUACAUCGGAACAUGUCCUGUAGUGGGGGAUAGCCCGGCGAAAGCCGGAUUAAUACCGCAUACGAUCCACGGAUGAAAGCGGGGGACCUUCGGGCCUCGCGCUAUAGGGUUGGCCGAUGGCUGAUUAGCUAGUUGGUGGGGUAAAGGCCUACCAAGGCGACGAUCAGUAGCUGGUCUGAGAGGACGACCAGCCACACUGGGACUGAGACACGGCCCAGACUCCUACGGGAGGCAGCAGUGGGGAAUUUUGGACAAUGGGCGAAAGCCUGAUCCAGCAAUGCCGCGUGUGUGAAGAAGGCCUUCGGGUUGUAAAGCACUUUUGUCCGGAAAGAAAUCCCUGGCUCUAAUACAGUCGGGGGAUGACGGUACCGGAAGAAUAAGCACCGGCUAACUACGUGCCAGCAGCCGCGGUAAUACGUAGGGUGCGAGCGUUAAUCGGAAUUACUGGGCGUAAAGCGUGCGCAGGCGGUCUGUUAAGACAGAUGUGAAAUCCCCGGGCUCAACCUGGGAACUGCAUUUGUGACUGGCAGGCUAGAGUAUGGCAGAGGGGGGUAGAAUUCCACGUGUAGCAGUGAAAUGCGUAGAGAUGUGGAGGAAUACCGAUGGCGAAGGCAGCCCCCUGGGCCAAUACUGACGCUCAUGCACGAAAGCGUGGGGAGCAAACAGGAUUAGAUACCCUGGUAGUCCACGCCCUAAACGAUGUCAACUAGUUGUUGGGGAUUCAUUUCCUUAGUAACGUAGCUAACGCGUGAAGUUGACCGCCUGGGGAGUACGGUCGCAAGAUUAAAACUCAAAGGAAUUGACGGGGACCCGCACAAGCGGUGGAUGAUGUGGAUUAAUUCGAUGCAACGCGAAAAACCUUACCUACCCUUGACAUGGUCGGAAUCCUGAAGAGAUUCGGGAGUGCUCGAAAGAGAACCGGCGCACAGGUGCUGCAUGGCUGUCGUCAGCUCGUGUCGUGAGAUGUUGGGUUAAGUCCCGCAACGAGCGCAACCCUUGUCCUUAGUUGCUACGCAAGAGCACUCUAAGGAGACUGCCGGUGACAAACCGGAGGAAGGUGGGGAUGACGUCAAGUCCUCAUGGCCCUUAUGGGUAGGGCUUCACACGUCAUACAAUGGUCGGAACAGAGGGUUGCCAACCCGCGAGGGGGAGCUAAUCCCAGAAAACCGAUCGUAGUCCGGAUUGCACUCUGCAACUCGAGUGCAUGAAGCUGGAAUCGCUAGUAAUCGCGGAUCAGCAUGCCGCGGCGAAUACGUUCCCGGGUUUUGUACACGCCUCCGGACGUACCACAAGGUAACCAGUAGAGAAGAUCAUGCUCAGGAAGUCGUAACAAGGUAACCAGUAGA
RNAcentral lists this ribosomal RNA (1426 nucleotides) under Burkholderia multivorans. RNAcentral describes it as "bacterial SSU rRNA". It matches the Rfam family "Bacterial small subunit ribosomal RNA". Lineage: Bacteria; Pseudomonadati; Pseudomonadota; Betaproteobacteria; Burkholderiales; Burkholderiaceae. The record is from RNAcentral.